CAGUCGCCGCGGGAAAACGAAGGGGGCUAGCGUUGUUCGGAAUUACUGGGCGUAAAGGGCGCGUAGGCGGCCAUUCAAGUUAGAUGUGAAAGCCCUGGGCUCAACCUAGGAAUUGCAUUUGAUACUGUUUGGCUUGAGUUCGGGAGAGGUGAGUGGAAUUCCCAGUGUAGAGGUGAAAUUCGUAGAUAUUGGGAAGAACACCAGUGGCGAAGGCGGCUCACUGGACCGACACUGACGCUGAGGCGCGAAAGCGUGGGGAGCAAACAGGAUUAGAUACCCGCGUAGUCCCUGUCUCUUAUAC
Molecule: ribosomal RNA, 301 nt
Filed under: uncultured bacterium
Lineage: Bacteria
Description: partial 16S ribosomal RNA
Rfam family: Bacterial small subunit ribosomal RNA
Source: RNAcentral